UACGGAGGAUGCAAGCGUUAUCCGGAUUUAUUGGGUUUAAAGGGUGCGCAGGUUGUUUGAUAAGUCAGUGGUGAAAGUCUGUCGCUUAACGGUAGGAUUGCCAUUGAUACUGUUAGACUUGAAUAUGGAUGAGGUAGGCGGAAUGUGUAGUGUAGCGGUGAAAUGCAUAGAUAUCACGAGGAACUCCGAUUGCGCAGGCAGCUUACUAAACCAUAACUGACGCUCAGGCACGAAGGCGUGGGGAUCAAACAGGA
This 254-nucleotide ribosomal RNA is filed under the name uncultured prokaryote. Its description in RNAcentral is "partial 16S ribosomal RNA". It matches the Rfam family "Bacterial small subunit ribosomal RNA", at positions 524 to 777 of the family's 1533-position model. The record is from RNAcentral.